This 111-nucleotide microRNA precursor is filed under the name Paramuricea clavata. Lineage: Eukaryota; Metazoa; Cnidaria; Anthozoa; Malacalcyonacea; Plexauridae. The record is from RNAcentral.
AUUUGUAUUGCGCGGCCAAUUGCCCCCUGGCGAUGCCAUAAUACAUUGCAUUUGCACAUAAUGCAAUGUAUUAUGGUAUCGCCAGGGGGCAAUUGGCCGCGCAAAACAAAA